AAGUCGUAACAAGGUCUCCGUUGGUGAACCAGCGGAGGGAUCAUUACCGAGUUUACAACUCCCAAACCCCUGUGAACAUACCUUUAUGUUGCCUCGGCGGAUCAGUCUGUCCUUCGGGACGGCCCGCCGCAGGACCCUAAACUCUGUUUUUAGUGGAACUUCUGAGUAAAAAAACAAAUAAAUCAAAACUUUCAACAACGGAUCUCUUGGUUCUG
This 215-nucleotide unclassified non-coding RNA is filed under the name Fusarium sp. RNAcentral describes it as "partial contains small subunit ribosomal RNA, internal transcribed spacer 1, and 5.8S ribosomal RNA". The stretch from base 1 to 46 matches the Rfam family "Eukaryotic small subunit ribosomal RNA", at positions 1786 to 1831 of the family's 1831-position model. RNAcentral also lists the same sequence under 1 other name. The record is from RNAcentral. Lineage: Eukaryota; Fungi; Ascomycota; Sordariomycetes; Hypocreales; Nectriaceae.